This 428-nucleotide ribosomal RNA is filed under the name uncultured bacterium. RNAcentral's name for it is "partial 16S ribosomal RNA". It matches the Rfam family "Bacterial small subunit ribosomal RNA", at positions 354 to 796 of the family's 1533-position model. The record is from RNAcentral.
GUAGGGAAUAUUGCACAAUGGGGGAAACCCUGAUGCAGCGACGCCGCGUGAGUGAUGAAGGCCUUCGGGUCGUAAAGCUCUGUCGUAUGGGACUAACAAAAUGAAGGUACCAUGCAAGAAAGGAUCGGCUAACUUCGUGCCAGCAGCCGCGGUAAGACGAGGGAUCCUAGCGUUGUUCGGAAUUAUUGGGCGUAAAGCGGGUGUAGGCGGGCCUGUCAGUCAGGUGUGAAAUCCCAGGGCUUAACCCUGGAAGUGCACUUGAUACUGCAGGUCUUGAGUGUGGUAGAGGCUAUUAGAAUUCUUGGUGUAGUGGUGAAAUACGUAGAUAUCAAGAGGAAUACCGGAGGCGAAGGCGGAUAGCUGGGCCAACACUGACGCUGAGACCCGAAAGCGUGGGGAUCAAACAGGAUUAGAAACCCCAGUAGUCC